AAACAGCCUCGACACAGCUGAAGGCGCAACAAAAUCGAACGAGACAGUUUAGGAUGUUAAAAACACCUGAAAACUUUUUUUUUCACUGCCCUUCAUACUACAGCUGUCAAAAAACCACAGCAACGUCGACACGCCUGGAAGCAUAGCUGUAUUUGUUUAAGACAACGGGUCAAUUAUGACUGAAGAAGAGGUCACCAAAUGAAGACCACAGCCAGGUGACGGGAUUCUGUGGUAAUCACAAACAGAUUUAAAAGUGCCUACUGUUGAAACACAUCUGAUCUCAUCUGAAAGCUGAUUCAAGCUACAGGUU
Misgurnus anguillicaudatus (oriental weatherfish) is the source of this 310-nucleotide non-coding RNA. NCBI's taxonomy places the organism in Eukaryota, Metazoa, Chordata, Actinopteri, Cypriniformes, Cobitidae. The record is from RefSeq and is a predicted model, not a curated record.